This 253-nucleotide small RNA is filed under the name Arabidopsis thaliana (thale cress). RNAcentral's name for it is "ATSL023050". Lineage: Eukaryota; Viridiplantae; Streptophyta; Magnoliopsida; Brassicales; Brassicaceae. The record is from RNAcentral.
AGUGAAACUAUGGAUGACAACCCACAUCACCAUGUACAUGGGUGAUUUAUUUUGGGUAUUAAUAGCUCAAAAAUCAUAUUUUAAUUGAUCAAACUAUGAAUUUGGGCCUGAUUUGUAUCAGUGAACUGAUAUCUUUGAUACUCAGUAUCAGGUGACGUGACAGCAUACGGUUGGUCAGUAUUUUCACUCAAAUCAGAAGAAAUUUUUUUUUUUAGUAAUCUUAUGUUUUACUAUAUUAAUUUCUGAUUUUGUA